GUACACUCCUGCGGGAGGCAGCAGUGGGGAAUAUUGGACAAUGGGCGCAAGCCUGAUCCAGCCAUGCCGCGUGAGUGAUGAAGGCCCUAGGGUUGUAAAGCUCUUUCACCGGUGAAGAUAAUGACGGUAACCGGAGAAGAAGCCCCGGCUAACUUCGUGCCAGCAGCCGCGGUAAUACGAAGGGGGCUAGCGUUGUUCGGAUUUACUGGGCGUAAAGCGCACGUAGGCGGACUAUUAAGUCAGGGGUGAAAUCCCGGGGCUCAACCCCGGAACUGCCUUUGAUACUGGUAGUCUUGAGUUCGAGAGAGGUGAGUGGAAUUCCGAGUGUAGAGGUGAAAUUCGUAGAUAUUCGGAGGAACACCAGUGGCGAAGGCGGCUCACUGGCUCGAUACUGACGCUGAGGUGCGAAAGCGUGGGGAGCAAACAGGAUUAGAAACCCCAGUAGUCCAUG
Molecule: ribosomal RNA, 451 nt
Filed under: uncultured organism
Description: partial 16S ribosomal RNA
Rfam family: Bacterial small subunit ribosomal RNA
Source: RNAcentral